UACGUAGGGUGCGAGCGUUAAUCGGAAUUACUGGGCGUAAAGCGUGCGCAGGCGGUUCGUUAUGUCCGAUGUGAAAGCCCCGAGCUUAACUUGGGAAUGGCAUUGGAAACUGGCGGGCUGGAGUGCGGCAGAGGGGGGUGGAAUUCCACGUGUAGCAGUGAAAUGCGUAGAGAUGCGGAGGAACACCGAUGGCGAAGGCAGCCCCCUGGGCCAAUACUGACGCUCAGGCACGAAAGCGUGGGGAGCAAACAGG
Molecule: ribosomal RNA, 253 nt
Filed under: uncultured bacterium
Lineage: Bacteria
Description: partial 16S ribosomal RNA
Rfam family: Bacterial small subunit ribosomal RNA
Source: RNAcentral